CCCCAUUCUCUCUCUCGCUCUCUCUUUCUCUCUCUCUCUUCUCCUACUCUGUCACUCUCUCUCUCCCAAAAUGAAUGAAUAAAUGGACGUUAUCAAAAUCACUCUAACAUAUAAGUAGAUGAUAAUUCAUUGAGUAAAAUUGACUCAAAAAUGUUGGAAAAAUGACGUUUUAGCUGUCUCCUAUUAAACAUGUGAUUAAAUAAAUACUUUAUUUACACUUCAAAAAUGCACCCGAAGGACUGCCACAAUCUGCACUUUCAAAUAUUUAAUCUUUUAAAACGUACAACUCAGCAGUAUUGAUUUCUGUUGCUACAUACAAUUAUUUUUCUUCAAAGAUGCAUCUACUGUAACAGAUAGCCACAAAGAACACAGAGCAUCUUUGUAAAUGGCAAAAAAAAAAAAAAAAAAAACAUUUGUAAAAGUAAGAGUCAGUGCAGUUCCACAGUGAGCUGUUGGGAUGGUCCUGAGUCCUGAUUCGACUGCUGGUGUUUGUGUCUUUGAAUUGGUUCUGUUGUGUCCAAGGAAAGAGUUCUGCAUGGCUGGUCUUGCUGACAGCUAAUUGUCACGAGCAUGUCAGGCAUCGUCACUUGUUUAUGUAUGUGUGUGGACUUGAGAUAUACCACCUCGUUUGGCAGCCAUGCCUUGCGGUGGCAUCACAGUGGAUGCACAACCUGCAAUGGAUGUGAUACAUGUCAAAGAAAAACAAUAACCUGUUAUCAUUUGAAUGGGAAAUCACAUCUUUUUUUUGUUGUGUUAAGACUAGUAUAGUUGGCUGCAAAGUUUCCCAUAUCUUUGAUGGAUACAAUUCUAAAUCCUGUGUCGCACAGAAACAGCAGGAAUCUUGACAGAUCUCUUCUCAAGUUUCAUGAACAGCAUGAGUGGGCUAUCUAUGUUUCUCUGUUCACACACUUACACACCCACACACACACACAAACCACUGGUGCUAGAAAUUGUACCCUUGAACUUGUCAGAAAGCACUGUUCGUACCUGUAAAUGUGUGUAAAUGGGAAAAAAGGCAUAUUGCUCUCCUGUGUUUGCACUUUUCGUACUCAGUUCACCAUCAUGACUGAACUGCCAAGAAAAUAGUCUUUGUUGUAAAAAGUGUUAAAGGCCUCAAAUCAUGCAUGAAUAUUGGAUCUGUGUGGUGCUCCCACCACUUGCCUGCCCUCUCCCCCACUAAACAUUUGUCUCUCGGAAUGAAACAGUUCACCUGAAAUAUUUCUGUCAUGUAUGAAAGUUGCACCAUAAAACAUGAUGUCGAACACAGACUAUUCAUCUAGUAAGUUGCUGGUGGAGAGAACUAUUACUGACAGUACGGCGUACCGUGAGUUGUAUAAAAAAAAAGCCCAGUUAUUGUGGAGAACCGGACUCACUGGUUGAACCCUUCCCCUCUCCCACGUUUGGUGUGACACAAGCGACCAGUUACGGAGCCAGUGAGCGAGUCAGGCCGCGAGGUUCGUGGAGAAGCAAACAUGCAGCGUGCGCUCUGGUGCCCGACUGUGUCCCACACGCUCUGGGAGUCCACCGCAGGGGCUCCGCAUGGGGCCCGAGCCGAGCAGGAGCCUCUGACGAGAUGGCAGAGGGGUAGAGAGGACAGGGAUUAGCAGUUUAUGUAAGAUAUGAACUGCAGCGCUGGUUUUCUGGUGGGUGCCUCUCUCACUCUCACUCCCCCUCUUUCUCUCUCUCUCUUUCUCUCUCUCUCUCUCUCCUUUUCUCACUCUUUCUUUCCAACAGCUGUUUGUGGGAGGCUGACUGAUGUCUCCCAUUCCUGCUCCGUCCCAACAGCACCGUGCCGUGUGUGUAAAGGAGAUGAGUUCAGCUGGGUGCCAGAAAACCUGUCUGCUCUGCCACCCAAUCACCCAAGAGAAUUAGACAUGCACGCACACCCACACACACACACACACACACACACACACACACACACACACACACAAACACACAGCACAAACAUACUGAUCAUCACAGAUGAAUUACCUACGGGAGGCACUAGGACCCGAGACAAACGAUCCCUGAGAGAGUCAAUGGGGGCCAGCUGGCAGACACAGAUUUCUCUCCCUGAUCGGGGCGGCUGCAGACAUAACGUGCAUUUCAGCGAGCGAGAGAGCAAGUCGGCGCGGGGUCUUUGUGCCCCCCCCCCCCCCUUCCCA
Molecule: long non-coding RNA, 2147 nt
Organism: Clupea harengus (Atlantic herring)
Lineage: Eukaryota; Metazoa; Chordata; Actinopteri; Clupeiformes; Clupeidae
Source: Ensembl